RNAcentral lists this unclassified non-coding RNA (360 nucleotides) under fungal sp. RNAcentral describes it as "partial internal transcribed spacer region". The stretch from base 1 to 46 matches the Rfam family "Eukaryotic small subunit ribosomal RNA", at positions 1786 to 1831 of the family's 1831-position model. The record is from RNAcentral. Lineage: Eukaryota; Fungi.
AAGUCGUAACAAGGUUUCCGUAGGUGAACCUGCGGAAGGAUCAUUACAACGUAUCCACGUAUCAAACUCGCGAACUGUCCCCUUUAGAGUAAACAAUUGUGGAUGAAGUUAAUGGCUGAUCGAUUCUCGCUGAUGGAGUUCACGGAUUUUUAUCUGAGAACUGAGAGUCUGUUGGUCGCUGGCCGAAGCGCUUGCGUUUCAGCUGGGACUUCGUUUACUCUACUGCGGUUUUUUACCAUCGGCGCCUGUUUUACCCAUUAUUAACCCUUUGAAAAUUUUGAACUGAACUUGAAGAUCGGCUGCGGCUGUCCUUGUUGGCUCCGGUGCCAACAACUCUUAGCAACGGAUAUCUUGGUUCUC